Molecule: ribosomal RNA, 1555 nt
Filed under: Escherichia coli NB8
Lineage: Bacteria; Pseudomonadati; Pseudomonadota; Gammaproteobacteria; Enterobacterales; Enterobacteriaceae
Description: bacterial SSU rRNA
Rfam family: Bacterial small subunit ribosomal RNA
Source: RNAcentral
UUAAAUUGAAGAGUUUGAUCAUGGCUCAGAUUGAACGCUGGCGGCAGGCCUAACACAUGCAAGUCGAACGGUAACAGGAAGCAGCUGCUGCUUUGCUGACGAGUGGCGGACGGGUGAGUAAUGUCUGGGAAACUGCCUGAUGGAGGGGGAUAACUACUGGAAACGGUAGCUAAUACCGCAUAACGUCGCAAGACCAAAGAGGGGGACCUUCGGGCCUCUUGCCAUCGGAUGUGCCCAGAUGGGAUUAACUAGUAGGUGGGGUAACGGCUCACCUAGGCGACGAUCCCUAGCUGGUCUGAGAGGAUGACCAGCCACACUGGAACUGAGACACGGUCCAGACUCCUACGGGAGGCAGCAGUGGGGAAUAUUGCACAAUGGGCGCAAGCCUGAUGCAGCCAUGCCGCGUGUAUGAAGAAGGCCUUCGGGUUGUAAAGUACUUUCAGCGGGGAGGAAGGGAGUAAAGUUAAUACCUUUGCUCAUUGACGUUACCCGCAGAAGAAGCACCGGCUAACUCCGUGCCAGCAGCCGCGGUAAUACGGAGGGUGCAAGCGUUAAUCGGAAUUACUGGGCGUAAAGCGCACGCAGGCGGUUUGUUAAGUCAGAUGUGAAAUCCCCGGGCUCAACCUGGGAACUGCAUCUGAUACUGGCAAGCUUGAGUCUCGUAGAGGGGGGUAGAAUUCCAGGUGUAGCGGUGAAAUGCGUAGAGAUCUGGAGGAAUACCGGUGGCGAAGGCGGCCCCCUGGACGAAGACUGACGCUCAGGUGCGAAAGCGUGGGGAGCAAACAGGAUUAGAUACCCUGGUAGUCCACGCCGUAAACGAUGUCGACUUGGAGGUUGUGCCCUUGAGGCGUGGCUUCCGGAGCUAACGCGUUAAGUCGACCGCCUGGGGAGUACGGCCGCAAGGUUAAAACUCAAAUGAAUUGACGGGGGCCCGCACAAGCGGUGGAGCAUGUGGUUUAAUUCGAUGCAACGCGAAGAACCUUACCUGGUCUUGACAUCCACGGAAGUUUUCAGAGAUGAGAAUGUGCCUUCGGGAACCGUGAGACAGGUGCUGCAUGGCUGUCGUCAGCUCGUGUUGUGAAAUGUUGGGUUAAGUCCCGCAACGAGCGCAACCCUUAUCCUUUGUUGCCAGCGGUCCGGCCGGGAACUCAAAGGAGACUGCCAGUGAUAAACUGGAGGAAGGUGGGGAUGACGUCAAGUCAUCAUGGCCCUUACGACCAGGGCUACACACGUGCUACAAUGGCGCAUACAAAGAGAAGCGACCUCGCGAGAGCAAGCGGACCUCAUAAAGUGCGUCGUAGUCCGGAUUGGAGUCUGCAACUCGACUCCAUGAAGUCGGAAUCGCUAGUAAUCGUGGAUCAGAAUGCCACGGUGAAUACGUUCCCGGGCCUUGUACACACCGCCCGUCACACCAUGGGAGUGGGUUGCAAAAGAAGUAGGUAGCUUAACCUUCGGGAGGGCGCUUACCACUUUGUGAUUCAUGACUGGGGUGAAGUCGUAACAAGGUAACCGUAGGGGAACCUGCGGUUGGAUCACCUCCUUACCUUAAAGAAGC